Molecule: ribosomal RNA, 560 nt
Filed under: uncultured bacterium
Lineage: Bacteria
Description: bacterial SSU rRNA
Rfam family: Bacterial small subunit ribosomal RNA
Source: RNAcentral
CCUACGGGAGGCAGCAGUGGGGAAUAUUGGACAAUGGGCGCAAGCCUGAUCCAGCCAUGCCGCGUGUGUGAUGAAGGCCUUAGGGUUGUAAAGCACUUUCGCCGGUGAAGAUAAUGACGGUAACCGGAGAAGAAGCCCCGGCUAACUUCGUGCCAGCAGCCGCGGUAAUACGAAGGGGGCAAGCGUUGCUCGGAAUCACUGGGCGUAAAGCGUACGUAGGCGGGUCGUUAAGUCAGGGGUGAAAUCCUGGAGCUCAACUCCAGAACGGCCCUUGAUACUGGCGAUCUUGAGUUCGAGAGAGGUUGGUGGAACUGCGAGUGUAGAGGUGAAAUUCGUAGAUAUUCGCAAGAACACCAGUGGCGAAGGCGGCCAACUGGCUCGAUACUGACGCUGAGGUACGAAAGCGUGGGGAGCAAACAGGAUUAGAUACCCUGGUAGUCCACGCCGUAAACGAUGGAUGCUAGCCGUUAGGCAGCUUGCUGCUUAGUGGCGCAGCUAACGCAUUAAGCAUCCCGCCUGGGGAGUACGGUCGCAAGAUUAAAACUCAAAGGAAUUGACGG